This 279-nucleotide ribosomal RNA is filed under the name uncultured bacterium. Its description in RNAcentral is "partial 16S ribosomal RNA". It matches the Rfam family "Bacterial small subunit ribosomal RNA", at positions 506 to 784 of the family's 1533-position model. The record is from RNAcentral.
UGCCAGCCGCCGCGGUAAUACGGAGGGUGCAAGCGUUGUUCGGAAUGACUGGGCGUAAAGCGCGCGUAGGCGGGUUUGUAUGUCGGAUGUGAAAGCCCCAGGCUCAACCUGGGAAUUGCACCCGAAACUGCAGAUCUUGAAUACUUGAGGGGCUAGUGGAAUUCCAGGUGUAGGAGUGAAAUCCGUAGAUAUCUGGAGGAACAUCGGAGGCGAAGGCGACUAGCUGGCAAUGUAUUGACGCUGAGGUGCGAAAGCGUGGGGAGCAAACAGGAUUAGAUA